UACAGAGGUCCCGAGCGUUGUUCGGAUUUAUUGGGCGUAAAGGGCGCGUAGGCGGUUCGUUAAGUCCUGUGUGAAAUCCCCCGGCUCAACUGGGGAACUGCACAGGAAACUAGCGGACUUGAGUUCGGGAGAGGGAAGCGGAAUUCCGGGUGUAGCGGUGAAAUGCGUAGAUAUCCGGAGGAACACCGGUGGCGAAGGCGGCUUCCUGGACCGACACUGACGCUGAGGCGCGAAAGCUAGGGGAGCAAACGGG
Molecule: ribosomal RNA, 253 nt
Filed under: uncultured bacterium
Lineage: Bacteria
Description: partial 16S ribosomal RNA
Rfam family: Bacterial small subunit ribosomal RNA
Source: RNAcentral